CCCUUGAGAGCCGUGGAAGACCACCACGUUGAUAGGCCGGGUGUGGAAGUGCGGCAACGCAUGAAGCUUACCGGUACUAAUAGCUCGAUUGGCUUGAUCAU
This 101-nucleotide ribosomal RNA is filed under the name Mycobacterium tuberculosis. RNAcentral describes it as "partial 23S ribosomal RNA". It matches the Rfam family "Bacterial large subunit ribosomal RNA", at positions 2825 to 2925 of the family's 2925-position model. The record is from RNAcentral. Lineage: Bacteria; Bacillati; Actinomycetota; Actinomycetes; Mycobacteriales; Mycobacteriaceae.